ACUACAUGCCUGACUGAGGAGUAUUUCCAAACCCACAGAAGCAAGAUGAUCUCAAAGACUCCCCUUCUCUGGCUGCUGCUUUUCUGGUUUCAAGGUUCCAACGGGCAGAUUGUGAUGACUCAGACUCCAGAAUCCCUGGCAGUGUCUCCUGGAGACAGAGUCACCAUGAACUGCAAAGCAAGUUCCAGUGUUAGUGGCUACAUGGCCUGGUACCAACAGAAACCAGGGCAAGCUCCUAAGCUUCUUAUCCGCAGCGCUUCCACCCGUCCCUCUGGGAUCCCAGACCGGUUCAGUGGCAGUGGGUCGGGCACUGAUUUCUCAUUCACCAUCAGCAAGGUUGAAGCUGAUGAUGCUGGAGAUUAUUACUGUCAGCAGUACGAUACGUUACCUCUCACAGUGAUACAGACCAAUACAAAAACCUCCCUGCUCUAUGCAGCAUGA
This is a non-coding RNA of Trachemys scripta elegans, 441 nucleotides long. The record is from the annotation of a RefSeq genome assembly. Lineage: Eukaryota; Metazoa; Chordata; Testudines; Emydidae.